GUCCCAGUGGCCUAAUGGAUAAGGCAUUGGCCUCCUAAGCCAGGGAUUACGGGUUCGUGUCCCAUCUGGGGUG
Non-coding RNA from Ameiurus melas (black bullhead), 73 nucleotides. The record is from the annotation of a GenBank genome assembly. NCBI's taxonomy places the organism in Eukaryota, Metazoa, Chordata, Actinopteri, Siluriformes, Ictaluridae.